UACGUAGGGUGCAAGCGUUAAUCGGAAUUACUGGGCGUAAAGCGUGCGCAGGCGGCUUUGCAAGACAGAUGUGAAAUCCCCGGGCUUAACCUGGGAACUGCAUUUGUGACUGCAAGGCUGGAGUGCGGCAGAGGGGGAUGGAAUUCCGCGUGUAGCAGUGAAAUGCGUAGAUAUGCGGAGGAACACCGAUGGCGAAGGCAAUCCCCUGGGCCUGCACUGACGCUCGUGCACGAAAGCGUGGGGAGCAAACAGG
This 253-nucleotide ribosomal RNA is filed under the name uncultured bacterium. RNAcentral's name for it is "partial 16S ribosomal RNA". It matches the Rfam family "Bacterial small subunit ribosomal RNA", at positions 524 to 776 of the family's 1533-position model. The record is from RNAcentral.